CUGAUCUCCACCUUGCUGUGGUCUCUGAUUUUUUUUGCUCGCAACUGUUGUCUCCUGCUCCUGCUUUCUGUGGUUUGCAUGAGUACACAGUGAUGGGGAUGUGGUGCCUCUGUGCUUUCCCAGGCAGGAGUGUUGCGCUGAGGCCAGCGGCAAGGAAACACGCAAGUGAAGAUGAGGACAUUUUUCUCAGCAUCCAGAAGUGAAGCGAGAUCCCUGGGAGAGAGGCGAGCUCUUUGCAAGGAAGCAUGAGUAAAGCCAAGACAGCAUCACCUCCCACCCGCUGCUGCCAGCGAUGCCGCAGGCUGGCUGCAGGGACCUAACGCAGGCGGCUGUCGGUGGGGAGAAGGUUUUCAGAGCCUGGAAAGCCGCGUGUGGAUGUGGCAAGGCAGGCUGUAGCUUGGCGCUGGGGCUGCCGCGUGCGGGCCACGCUGGAUGCACAGACUUUGUCAGCCAGACCUGAGAUAACGGGGCUCACGCUCACUGCCUGCUUUCACCAUGGCUGUUCGUAGCAUCGUGGUAAUGAAAAAUUGAUCAAAGGC
This is a long non-coding RNA of Oxyura jamaicensis (ruddy duck), 539 nucleotides long. RefSeq lists it as uncharacterized. NCBI's taxonomy places the organism in Eukaryota, Metazoa, Chordata, Aves, Anseriformes, Anatidae. The transcript has 2 exons. The record is from RefSeq and is a predicted model, not a curated record.